UACGUAGGUGGCAAGCGUUGUCCGGAUUUACUGGGCGUAAAGAGCGCGCAGGCGGUCGAAUAAGUCGAAUGUGAAAGCCCCCGGCUCAACUGGGGAGGGUCACGCGAUACUGAUCGACUCGAAGGCAGGAGAGGGUAGUGGAAUUCCCGGUGUAGUGGUGAAAUGUGUAGAGAUCGGGAGGAACACCGGUGGCGAAGGCGGGUCUCUGGGCAUUCCCUGACGCUGAGGCGCGAAAGCGUGGGGAGCAAACGGG
RNAcentral lists this ribosomal RNA (253 nucleotides) under uncultured bacterium. RNAcentral describes it as "partial 16S ribosomal RNA". It matches the Rfam family "Bacterial small subunit ribosomal RNA", at positions 524 to 776 of the family's 1533-position model. The record is from RNAcentral.